Molecule: ribosomal RNA, 761 nt
Filed under: Prevotella melaninogenica
Lineage: Bacteria; Pseudomonadati; Bacteroidota; Bacteroidia; Bacteroidales; Prevotellaceae
Description: bacterial SSU rRNA
Rfam family: Bacterial small subunit ribosomal RNA
Source: RNAcentral
GAUGAACGCUAGCUACAGGCUUAACACAUGCAAGUCGAGGGGAAACGGCAUUUAGUGCUUGCACCGAAUGGACGUCGACCGGCGCACGGGUGAGUAACGCGUAUCCAACCUACCCAUUACUGUGGGAUAACCUGCCGAAAGGCAGACUAAUACCGCAUAGUCUUCGAUGACGGCAUCAGAUUUGAAGUAAAGAUUUAUCGGUAAUGGAUGGGGAUGCGUCUGAUUAGCUUGUUGGCGGGGUAACGGCCCACCAAGGCAACGAUCAGUAGGGGUUCUGAGAGGAAGGUCCCCCACAUUGGAACUGAGACACGGUCCAAACUCCUACGGGAGGCAGCAGUGAGGAAUAUUGGUCAAUGGACGAGAGUCUGAACCAGCCAAGUAGCGUGCAGGAUGACGGCCCUAUGGGUUGUAAACUGCUUUUGUAUGGGGAUAAAGUCAAUCACGUGUGAUUGUUUGCAGGUACCAUACGAAUAAGGACCGGCUAAUUCCGUGCCAGCAGCCGCGGUAAUACGGAAGGUCCGGGCGUUAUCCGGAUUUAUUGGGUUUAAAGGGAGCGUAGGCCGGAGAUUAAGUGUGUUGUGAAAUGUAGACGCUCAACGUCUGACUUGCAGCGCAUACUGGUUUCCUUGAGUACGCACAACGUUGGCGGAAUUCGUCGUGUAGCGGUGAAAUGCUUAGAUAUGACGAAGAACUCCGAUUGCGAAGGCAGCUGACGGGAGCGCAACUGACGCUUAAGCUCGAAGGUGCGGGUAUCGAACAGG